CCCCAGGUCAGGCGGGAUUACCCGCUGA
RNAcentral lists this small nuclear RNA (28 nucleotides) under Arabidopsis thaliana (thale cress). RNAcentral's name for it is "snRNA_02275". Lineage: Eukaryota; Viridiplantae; Streptophyta; Magnoliopsida; Brassicales; Brassicaceae. The record is from RNAcentral.